UACGUAGGGCGCAAGCGUUAUCCGGAAUUAUUGGGCGUAAAGAGCUCGUAGGCGGUUUGUCGCGUCUGCCGUGAAAGUCCGGGGCUCAACUCCGGAUCUGCGGUGGGUACGGGCAGACUAGAGUGAUGUAGGGGAGACUGGAAUUCCUGGUGUAGCGGUGAAAUGCGCAGAUAUCAGGAGGAACACCGAUGGCGAAGGCAGGUUGCUGGGCCGACACUGACGCUGAUGCGCGAAAGCCAGGGGAGCGAACGGG
This 253-nucleotide ribosomal RNA is filed under the name uncultured bacterium. Its description in RNAcentral is "partial 16S ribosomal RNA". It matches the Rfam family "Bacterial small subunit ribosomal RNA", at positions 524 to 776 of the family's 1533-position model. The record is from RNAcentral.